RNAcentral lists this ribosomal RNA (292 nucleotides) under uncultured bacterium. RNAcentral describes it as "partial 16S ribosomal RNA". It matches the Rfam family "Bacterial small subunit ribosomal RNA", at positions 505 to 796 of the family's 1533-position model. The record is from RNAcentral.
GUGCCAGCAGCCGCGGUAAGACGUAGGAGGCGAGCGUUGUCCGGAUUCAUUGGGCGUAAAGAGCGCGCAGGCGGCUUGGUAAGUCGGAUGUGAAAUCCCGAGGCUCAACCUCGGGUCUGCAUCCGAUACUGCCCGGCUAGAGGUAGGUAGGGGAGAUCGGAAUUCCUGGUGUAGCGGUGAAAUGCGCAGAUAUCAGGAGGAACACCGGUGGCGAAGGCGGAUCUCUGGGCCUUACCUGACGCUCAGGCGCGAAAGCUAGGGGAGCGAACUGGAUUAGAUACCCCGGUAGUCC